Pelobates cultripes (western spadefoot toad) is the source of this 2120-nucleotide non-coding RNA. The record is from the annotation of a GenBank genome assembly. NCBI's taxonomy places the organism in Eukaryota, Metazoa, Chordata, Amphibia, Anura, Pelobatidae.
GUGUAAAGUGACAUGAAUAUUUAUUCAUAUAUUCAAUUACAUAUCCAUAUUGUAUAAAGAGGCAUAAGUGAUUAUACACUCCAUAUUCCUUCACUCUAAUAAAGUGAUACUACUUUUUUUUUUUUUAUAUAAUAGUGAUAUCUUAUCAUUCAAUUAAUUCAAAAAACAAACAAUAUCCAUAUCCACAUUUAACCCCCUUGGGGUAAGGGUGCGUAAUCUGUGAAUCCAGUAUGAUUCCCUUUGUGCCAAUCGUUUUUCUUUAUUACCCCCUCUCCAAUGAGGUUGAAUUUGCUCUAUCCCUAUACAACGCAAACCCUUUAGACGAAACAAUGGACAACUAUUGCAAUGGAGAGGAACUGAAUGGGUAUCCAAUUUUUUCUUUAUAUUAUUAAUAUGUUCCAAAAGUCUCACUUUUAAACAUCUCUUUGUACGGCCAACAUAUUGGCUGCCGCAUGGACACUGAAGUAGAUACACCAGGCAGUCUGAGCGGCAGCCAAUCUCUGAUUUAAUAGAAAACUGUUUUCCUGUAACAAAACUGCUGUAUGAUGUAACUUUAUCCGUAUUUACUUGUGAACAAGCUUUGCAACUUUUACAACCUCUAAAGCCCUUUGGCCCUUUUUUAGUGUUUUUAGAUCCAUUUCUUAAGGCAUAGCUUGGUGCUAAUAGGUUCUUAAGAUUUUGUUUUUUUCUAAAAAUAAUCUUUGGCCUUUUGGAUAGAUGUUCUCCCAAAAUGGGAUCCCCCAGUAGUAUUGGCCAGUACUUAUACAAACUCCUUUUUAUUUUUGGAUGGUCCACAUUAUAUUGUGUAAAAAAAGCUUGUUUGAAAUCUUCCCCCUUUUUCCUACUACCAGAACCGUCAAUAAGAAGGUCAUUUCUGCUCUUUUUAGACAUCGCCUGAAUUUCUCUCUUUAUAUGUUUUUGGUUGUAGCCUUUUUUAACUAAUUUAUCGGCUAUAUGUUGCGCCUGUAUCUGAAAAUCCUUGGUGUGCAAACAAUUUCUUCUUACUCGAGUAAGUUGUCCCUUGGUGAUUCCCUUCAACCAAGGUUGAUGGUGACAACUACGUUUAUGAACAUAGCUGUUCCCAUCAGUUGGUUUGAAGAAGCACUUGGAUUUUAUUUCAUUUCCCUCACAAAAUAAAGUGAGAUCUAAGAAAUUGAUUUCUCUACGGUCCCAUACUGGAGAAAAUUUUAAAUUAUAAUCAUUCCGAUUAAGAUGUUGAACAAAAGUACUAAAUUCAGAAUCCGACCCCUUCCAAAUAAUAAUAACAAGUGUGUUUUUCACACUUUUUUCACGGGUGUCCGUGUUUUCUACUAAUUAGCAUAUGCCAUGUGGAGAUUUCGGCCUACUAAAUUUUGACCAUGCUGGAAUCCCAUCACAUUCCCCCCUUUGAUGCCUCUGAUACAAAGUUAUACAAGAUGCAUCACUAACCAUAAUUUGCCAACACCACUCUAGUAACCAUGAACCACUACAGACCUUGUAAUCUUUCUAACUGAACUUCGUGCUCUCUCAACAUUCCUCAUCCUGAUUAUUCUCUCUCUGGGCUAGGGGUUCAUACUUCCAGACAGCCAUUAUUUACACAGACUGAUUGCUAAACACAUUUAAAGAGAGGGACAUUAGAAUUGGAAAGUGGAACAGAUUGAUAUGGGCCCUAAACAGGGACAAUUGGGAGGUAUUUACUAGAAACAUCCACAAAAAUAGAAAAACCUGUUUUUGGAUGUUAAAUGUUUGGAUGUUGCCUAGUUUAACUGCACCACAGCAAUAAUAAUUUCAAUUAAAGGACCACUAUCGUGCCAAGAAAACAAACUUGUUUUCUUUGCACUAUGUAGUCCUUAGGUGCCCCCCACCCUCAUGGCCCCCCUCCCGCUGGGCUGAAGGGGUUAAAACGCUGGACCGCUGGGGAACUCUCCUCUUCCUGAUGAUGUCAGCGGGCAUUCAAACAGUCCAUAGAAAGCAUUACUCAAUGCUUUCCUAUGGACGUCACCGUCUUCUCACUGUGAUUUUCACAGUGAGAAUCACGGAAGAGGCCUCUAAUGGCUGUCAGUGAGACAGCCACUAGAGGCUGGAUUAACCCUCAGUGUAAAAAUAGCAGUUUCUCUGAAACUGCUAUGUUUUAGCUGCAG